Long non-coding RNA from Mauremys reevesii (Reeves's turtle), 439 nucleotides. RefSeq lists it as uncharacterized. NCBI's taxonomy places the organism in Eukaryota, Metazoa, Chordata, Testudines, Geoemydidae. The record is from RefSeq and is a predicted model, not a curated record. The transcript has 5 exons.
CACAAUGGUAGCAACGUGGAAAUCUUUGUCUGUAACUCAUCGGUAACUUACAAAUGUGUCCAUAAUUUCUCACUUAUUGGAGAGGCCUCCAUUCACUGUACAACUAAAGAUAACAUCAGUGGAGUCUGGAAUGGGUCUGUCCCUGAAUGCAAAGAUCAGUGUGGGGCCCCACGAAGGCUCCGUCGUGAUACUAAUGGCAAAGAACUGGCAGACAGGUGCGGUGGUGGCUCUGUUAAAAGCCCUGAGCCUGGCUUUGAUACACGCAUUGGCAUUCCUGGCAUCGGCAGCAACAUUACCACUGUCGUCGGUAUCACCGUCGCCGCCAUUGCCAUCGCCAUCGUCACUGGAAUAGUUGCAGGUUUGAAUAAAAAAUGGAAAAAGAAAAAGGGUUCUUACGGUGUAAAUCUGGAUUCCCCAAAGUAUCACAUUGCGCCAGAAG